Long non-coding RNA from Cyprinus carpio carpio, 4312 nucleotides. The record is from Ensembl. NCBI's taxonomy places the organism in Eukaryota, Metazoa, Chordata, Actinopteri, Cypriniformes, Cyprinidae.
AUGUCCAUUAUUCCCCCAGCCAUAUUGAUUAACAGGAAGAUAGAGCACACUCUAGUCUCCAGCAGUCGGAGCGUAACCUUUUACCCUGGCUCUAUCCCAGCUCCGGCCGGGCUUGGGUUACAUAGUGGCCGGGCAUUCCAGAGUACAAAUGGAAUUAGUGCAUCUGUUCAAAAGUUAAUUUGCAAAUCACCUUUGAAUGAGUCUUUUGAUAGAGCUGAUAUGGUGGCCAUCAGCCAGAAUAACACGCCUUCUCAUGUAUCAGGCCUAAAGAUUAUUUUUGCACUUAUUAUUAUUUCUAUUAUUAUUAUUAUCCUUUAAAAAUAUAGGCGCCUACGCCUAUUUUUUAGUGAUGCAGCGUGGAGAGCCACUUCAGAAACUUUCUGCGGCGUGGGUGGUGAGUAGCCAUGAUCAGCUCUGGUCGCGUGACGCACCGCAGACGUGUGCAGUGUAAAUAAAGAGGUAAGAGAUUUAUUCAUGAUACAGUGUAGCUUUACUGAUUAUAACAGGAGUGUUUUUAAAGAGCAUAUAAUACUCACGCUAGACUGAAGUCAGUUAUGAUGUUCUUUGGUAAUGUAAAUCUUCUCUGUUCGUUUUCUGUUUAAAUAACUGAGGAAGUGUAACUGUUUUAUUAACUGCUCAUCGUUAAACAUUUUAAAAAAAAAUUCUUCCUCUCCUGAAAGAUUUGCACACAUCUCUGUCUCCACAGUGCCAUCACAAGCCCCUACUGGCAACUCCUAACCACUUGAGAGACCUCUCGAGCUGUCUUAAAUAACUGGGAGAGUAAGGGUGAUUCUUAGCUUUAAGAAAUUUGAUAACUUGCUUUUAUACUUAAGUUUGAAAGUAGGAGUACAUUUUAUGAAUUCUCAGCACUUAGGACUAAAAUGGCACUUUGAGAAGCUUGAUAAAUAUGGGCCCAGGCUAUACCUUUGAUAAUACCUAGAAUUUUAAAUUUUACUGCAGGCGGCAGAUUCUUUUUCUAUUUAGCGCCAAAACUCUGGAAUAACCUACCUAACAUUGUUCGGGAGGCAGACACACUCUAGCCCCUUUCACACUGCGUUUCCCGAAAAUACACGUGUAAUGUGUCCCGGCAAUUGUUCCCGGGUCACUAGAUUUUGCGCCUUUCACACUGCCAGUGAUAACCCGGAAUAUGUGCGUGCGUUCACACACAACCCGUAAAGGUCCCGUGAAGACACAUGAUAUCAGGAUGUGACGUGUAAUGUACGAGUCGAAAACGCUAGGCACGUUAACUUUCACUUAAUCUGGCGAACGAUCUCAGCUUCAGCGCGGAAAGUGAGGAACUAACUGAUCUCUGCUUCGUUACAGUUUGCACAUAUUUGUUUCUUCACGAACGUUGAUCUGCCUUCAAAACACCCGUUAAAAUAGUCGCGAGAUAACGUGCGUCAUCACUACGACACAGCCUUUACGGUAUUAGUUCUUGCUUUUGUUCACACAGCGCUCGUUCCGGGACUGAACCCCGCAAUGUUACUAGGUCCCCAACCGGGGAUCAAUCCCGGGACGUGUUUGCGUUCAGACAGAAGGUGACCCGGCAAUGUUCCGGCAAUUUUCCGGGUCCAGCGUGCAGUGUGAAAGGGGCUUCUGUCAGUUCAAAUCUAGAUUAAAGACCCAUCUCUUUAACCUGGCUUACACAUUGCACACUAACACAUUUCUAAUAUUCAAAUCCAUUAAAGGAUUUUUAGGCUGCAUUAAUUAGGACAACUGGAACUGGGAACACUUCCCAUAACACCCGAUGUACUUGCUAUAUCGUUAGAAGAAUGGCAUCUAUGCUAAUAUUAGUCUGAUUCUCUCUUAUUCCGAGGUCACCAUAAUCACCAGAUCCAGUACAUAUCCAGACCAGAUGGUGGAUCAGCACCUAGAAAGGACCUCUACAGCCUUGAAUGUCAGCGGAGACCAGGACAACUAGAUGAGACCCAGAGACAGAUCCCCUGUGAUGACCUUGUUUCCUAGAAGGCCACCGGGACAAGACCACAGGAACCAGGUGUGUUUACACAUACAAGGAAUUUGUUUUCGUGACAGAAGCUUCCGCAGUGCAACAGAAUGACAGCGACAGAACAAAAACAUAAUAAAAGAAUAAAAAAAUAGAACAAGUAAGUAAGGAAUAACAAUAUACAAAUUGACAAUUGUAUGUGCAGGUAUAUUACAAUAGACAGUUUUGUAUGUACAGGUAUAUUAUGUGCAAAUUGAAGUGUAGACUAAGUAUGUGUGUUAGAUAAAUAAGUGUAUGAGUGUAUAAAUAGUGUUGUGUGUUCUACAGUUAUUAUCAAGUGUUCAUGAGAUUGAUUGCCUGAGGGAAGAAACUGUUCCUAUGUCUGGCCAUUCUGGUGCUCAGAGCUCUGUAGCAUCGACCGGACGGCAACAGUUCAAAGAGGAAGUGUGCUGGAUGUGAGGGGUCCAGAGUGAUUUUGCCAGCCCUUUUGCUCACUCUGGAUGAGUACUGUUUUUGAAUAGAAGAGAGGGUUGUACCGGUGAUUCGCUCAGCAGUCCGGACUACCCUCUGUAGUCUUCUGAGGUCAGAUUUGGUAGCUGAGCUGAACCAGACAGUUAUAGAAGUGCAGAGGAUGGAUUCAGUGAUGGCGGAGUAGAACUGUUUCAGCAGCUCCUGUGACAGGUUGAACUUCCUCAGCUGGAGAAGGUAAUACAACCUCUGCUGGGCCUUUUUCACAAUGGAGUCAAUGUGAACGUCCCACUUUAGGUCCUGAGAGACUGUGGUGCCCAGGAACCUGAAUGACUCCACUGCAGUCACAGUGUUCAUGAUGGUGAGUGGGGGGAGAGCAGGGGGGUUUCUCCUGAAGUCCACGAUCAUCUCCACAGUUAUAAGCGUGUUGAGCUCCAGGUUGUUGAGACUGCACCAGACAGCCAGCUCUUUAUGACAUAUAAUAUAAUAUAAUAUAAUAUAAUAUAAUAUAAUAUAAUAUAAUAUAAUAUAAUAUAAUAUAAUAUAAUAUAAUAUAAUAUAAAUGUGGUUAUUAAAUUACAUAAUUUCCAGUGCAGUUAUAUUAUAUAUACUUCAAAAGUUUUGAAUAGACCUGGUUUAUGGUGGUUUAUGUCAUUUUUGGAGCAGCGUUCGUUCUCAUUGCCUGCCAUCCUUCACAUUCUGCUAAACAUCUCCUUUUUUAUCCCAUGAAAGAAAGACAUGAGGAUGAGUACAUGAUAACAGAAGUAUCCCUUUACCAGCCUUGCUACUAACUUUAUUUACAGUGUCACUGUUUGGUUAUAUAGAAGUAUAUGAAGUUGCAGCAACCGUUUUCAGCUGUCCUAUCUUGAUGGGACUACGACCAUCUUGAUGCUUAGCGCCCAUCUGUUCAGCUAUACACUGUCCAGGACUGCUUUGGAAUUCAGAGCAGCAUGUAGCUGUCACAGAGUAAUAGGGUUUUUUAUUUGUUAUGGGAAGGCAGCUCAUCUUGUUAAUUCUGCAGAUGGACAGGGGUGAGGAUUUGCCCCGUGGUAAAGUACACUCACUGGCACUCAAGUUGCCGGACUGGAUGUCUCGCUGCUGUUCAGGAGUCAGUCUCAGACAGGCAGACAGCCAGAGAGGCAGACGGACAGACAGGCUAAGAUAUCGCCUGCAGUCAUUCAGAACCUCACAGUCUGGCUGGAGUGAAUUUGACUGGAGGCAAGAAGCAAAACGAGGAUUGCUGAGGUAACAGGAACACGACACGACACACACACACACACACACACACACACACACACACACACACACACACACACACACACACACACACACACACACACACAUAUUGCUUAGGCUUUUCUUUCUCUCUCACUUUCCAUUCCUCCAUUCUUCCCUAUAUUCUGAUCAGAUAUGCAGAGCAGUUGUGUUUCCCCCCACAGACUCCGGAGUUUCUCAUGUCAGAUCACUCUGAUUGCAUAAGAGUCAUGGCAGGGUGGAAGCCCUGGUGAUCAGACCUCCACUGCUCUCUUCGCUUACUUCCAGUCUUUCAGAAUUUAAUGACUGUGAUUGCGAUUUUGAUUCACUUUUUGACAGUGAUAUUUAAAAUAAAUAAAUAAAUAAAUGUAUUCACCCUUCACUUGUUCCAAACCUGUUGUUUCUUUCUUCUGUUGAACACAAAGAAGAUAUUUUGAAGAAUGUUGGUACCCAAACAGAAUAUAUUUUUUAUUCAUACUAUGGAAGUCAGUGGCUACCAAAAAGGAAGAUUCUUCCAUCCUUCACUCACCUUCACGGCAAUCCAAACCCUUAUGACUUUCUUUCUCUUGUCGCACAUGAAAGGAGAGAUUUUUAAGAACGCUCAUGCUGCUCUUUUCCAUACAAUGGAAGUGAAUGGAAUUCAGA